UACGUAGGGGGCAAGCGUUGUCCGGAAUUAUUGGGCGUAAAGCGCGCGCAGGCGGUUAUUUAAGUCUUAUGUUUAAACCUGGGGCUCAACCUCGGGACGCAUGGGAAACUGGGUAACUUGAGUGUAGGAGAGGAAAGUGGAAUUCCACGUGUAGCGGUGAAAUGCGUAGAGAUGUGGAGGAACACCAGUGGCGAAGGCGGGUCUCUGGGCCUGUACUGACGCUGAGGAGCGAAAGCGUGGGGAGCGAACAGG
RNAcentral lists this ribosomal RNA (252 nucleotides) under uncultured bacterium. Its description in RNAcentral is "partial 16S ribosomal RNA". It matches the Rfam family "Bacterial small subunit ribosomal RNA", at positions 524 to 776 of the family's 1533-position model. The record is from RNAcentral.